UCCUCCUGCGAUUUUGUCUGCCGACGAGAAGCGAGCGAAUCCAGUUGUUUGCGAUGAUGACGACGACGGCCGCGGUGUACGGCUGCUGCUCGGCGGCGCUGCCGCCCUUCGCGGAGUUCACGGAGAGCUUCUCCGCUUGCCGGGCGCCUCCUCCUCCCCGCGUUUCCCUCGUCGCCUCCUCGAAGCUCAGGGCGACGACACCCGGGUUGAGGGUUUCCUGUCCUCGUAGGAGGCUGGUUGUAGCUGCUUGCUCCGGCGAGGUUAGUUCGGACGCGGCGGCGUCGCCAACGGAAGCCACUGUUGAUAUAAAGCUUCCAAGAAGAAGCUUGCUUGUUCAAUUUACAUGUAAUGCAUGUGGUGAAAGGACCAAGCGCUUGAUAAACAGAGUAGCCUAUGAAAGAGGAACAGUUUUUCUUCAGUGUGCAGGGUGCCAGGUGUACCACAAGUUUGUUGAUAAUCUUGGUCUAGUUGUUGAGUACGACGUAUGAGAAGAAAAUGGCGUACAAGAAAAAAAUGUGGUGAACAACGAUUCUGAAGAUUAAUCUAUUAUGAGAAGCCAUGUCGGUGAAAUUGAGGUUGGAAACUUGCAAGUUUUCGCACAUAUGCGCGGAGUAUUUAGGUGUAAUGCGUGUCUGCAGAUAUGAGUAUUUCUUCUACUACUACUUCUAUGCUUGUUGGACAAGUCUCCCAUGGGUUGCCUUUCGGCAGUUGCCUUGCAUGUUUCCAUAGGAAAAUUUUUCUGCUCCUUGCACAGUUGCACACAGCUAUGAAGCCUUGCCGCCACCGUCUUGGAUCGCUUUGGCUUGGCCCCUGCAGUUGCUCCGCGUCUCUAUCGCAAUUCCACGGUCCGCGUUGUCCUGCUUCCCUACGCCUAUUACCGUGUGCGUCCAGUUGUUGACGAAGAAUGGUUGACGUACGAGCUGGAUCGUCUCCGGAGAGAGAAGAAAGGGGAACUUUGUUGGUAAAAGAGAUGUUCGAUGUAUACUUAUGUAGUUCUAACACGUCCUUUUUUCUUUACAAGUAGGGAGCACUAUCUUAGGAAGAGAGGGCCAUGGCAUAUAGUGAUGAGUCGCUACUUGACGAGUCAUCAGUGGGUAUGGUUUGGUGGCUAAGAAACUAGGACAGGUAUCACUAUCACAAUCGGUUUCAUGGGGAAAAGGAAUCUCCAUCUCUCAUCAGUUGCCACACAUAUGGUUUUGAGCACUUAUCUCUUUGAGGAUUUAUUCCCACUUUACCGUCGUGACAUACUAGAUGUCGGUUAAAUGAGAUGCUAGACACUGUAAGUGUUAUUAAUCGUGGUUUAUGCUUA
Phragmites australis (common reed) is the source of this 1309-nucleotide RNA transcript. It is a transcript of the gene named mitochondrial protein import protein ZIM17-like, with no coding region annotated. The record is from RefSeq and is a predicted model, not a curated record. Lineage: Eukaryota; Viridiplantae; Streptophyta; Magnoliopsida; Poales; Poaceae. The transcript has 5 exons.